RNAcentral lists this long non-coding RNA (1356 nucleotides) under Oryctolagus cuniculus (rabbit). Its description in RNAcentral is "lncRNA (ENSOCUG00000031032.1)". The record is from RNAcentral. Lineage: Eukaryota; Metazoa; Chordata; Mammalia; Lagomorpha; Leporidae.
CUGUUCUUUCUCUGCGGCAGGGCCUGAAUACCAAAGCAGAAAACAAAGGGAAAGGCUGAGUUUAACUCCUUCAGUGCCGGGUGAUCGACCUUUGCAUCUACCGUGUUGCCCUUCAAACCCCAGCCUGUUCAGUCCCGGAUGGAAAUUGCCCUGCGAGUGGGCGUGGAUUCAGUGAGGCUGUGGAGUGCCUCCGGGAAAUCAAACCGCGUCCACACCUGACCACACGCCCUGCGGGGAGAGCCUGGAACUUCAGGCAAAACCUGCACCGCAAAGAAAUUAAAAUCGCCGGCCUGUGGCCUAGCAGGAACAGCCACUGCCUGCAGGCCAGCGUCCCAUGAGGGAGCCGUCCACUUCUACUUCCACUCCCAGGUCCAGGGCCCAGCAGGAGGGAGCCCCACUACCCACCUGGGACCUGCUGAGUCCUGCUCCCUCCCUGGCCCACGCUGUUUCCUGAGAACCAAACUUGCUCUUCAGCCCUUGUCACGGGAGCACACGCGUGUCCUGCUGCACGGAAGCUGUCGCACACAGCAAGGAUGUGACUGCGGGAAAAGGUGACCUUGGGACGGAAAACGGUGAGGAGAGCAGAGCUCGCUCUAAAUUAACCCGCUCCCUGCAGGGGAAGGAUCCCCCCAACACACCCCGCCAGAUCGAUGGCAAAGCACGCCCGCCGGCUUCCGGAAGGUUCCAGCCUCAAACAGAGACACACGGGUUGCCUUGGGGUCGGCUCACAAAGCGAGCCUGUCGUGACCCAUCCAGGUCUGAACCACUUUCUGAGGCCCCCCCAUGUCGACGACACGCAUGUGCCACGGGCCUCACCGUCGGCUUCGCACGCACCCAUCGUCCCCAGCAAACAGUGAGCUUUGUUGCCUCCUUACGGACAAGCAAGAUGGUGCUGCCCACCUGCUGCCCUUCUCACUCGGGCCCCCGGGAAGCUCCCCCGGCCCAGAAUCUGCCAUUUUGCUCGCUCUGAGGCAGCUCCAGACCUCGGCACGGGAUCCGGGAGCAGCCGUGGGCAUGGCCUCCGCCACCAGCUCACAUCUGGCAGCACAAAUGUGUUCCUCGAAAAAGGACAUUCUGGGGGCUGGUGUUGUGCUGUAGAAGGCUGAGCCUCCACCUGUAGCACCGCCAUCCCAUGUGGGCGCCAGUUCGAGACCCGGCUGCUCCACUUCCCAUCCAGCUCCUUGCCAAUGGCCUGGGGAAGCCAUAGAAGAUGGCCCAAGUCCCUGGGCCCCUGCACCUUCGUGGGAGACCCAGAAGAAGCUCCUGGCACCUGGCUUCUGCCAAGCCCAGCCCCAGGCAUUUUGGAGUGAGCCAGAUGGGAGAUUUCUCUCUCUCCAUCUCUCUCUCCCCCUUUCU